This 253-nucleotide ribosomal RNA is filed under the name uncultured bacterium. Its description in RNAcentral is "partial 16S ribosomal RNA". It matches the Rfam family "Bacterial small subunit ribosomal RNA", at positions 524 to 776 of the family's 1533-position model. The record is from RNAcentral.
UACGGAGGGUGCAAGCGUUAUCCGGAUUCACUGGGUUUAAAGGGUGCGUAGGUGGCCAAGUAAGUCAGUGGUGAAAUCUCCGGGCUUAACCCGGAAACUGCCAUUGAUACUAUUUGUCUUGAAUACUGUGGAGGUCAGCGGAAUAUGUCAUGUAGCGGUGAAAUGCUUAGAUAUGACAUAGAACACCAAUUGCGAAGGCAGCUGGCUACACAAAUAUUGACACUGAGGCACGAAAGCGUGGGGAUCAAACAGG